RNAcentral lists this ribosomal RNA (346 nucleotides) under uncultured bacterium. Its description in RNAcentral is "partial 16S ribosomal RNA". It matches the Rfam family "Bacterial small subunit ribosomal RNA", at positions 338 to 676 of the family's 1533-position model. The record is from RNAcentral.
CCUACGGGAGGCAGCAGUGGGGAAUAUUGCGCAAUGGGCGAAAGCCUGACGCAGCGACGCCGCGUGAGGGAUGAAGGUCUUCAGAUCGUAAACCUCUGUCAGCAGGGAAGAACGGUCACGGUGCUAAUCAGCAGUGAAUUGACGGUACCUGCAAAGGAAGCACCGGCUAACUCCGUGCCAGCAGCCGCGGUAAUACGGAGGGGGCGAGCGUUAAUCGGAAUUACGGGGCGUAAAGCGCUCGUAGGCGGUAUGUCAAGUCAAGGGUGAAAUCCCCGCGCUCAACGUGGGAACUGCCUUUGAAACUGGCAAACUGGAGUGUGUGAGAGUCUAGUGGAAUUCCAGGUGU